Long non-coding RNA from Arvicola amphibius (Eurasian water vole), 497 nucleotides. RefSeq lists it as uncharacterized. The record is from RefSeq and is a predicted model, not a curated record. The transcript is spliced from 3 exons. Lineage: Eukaryota; Metazoa; Chordata; Mammalia; Rodentia; Cricetidae.
GGAAGCUGGGUUGCCCCGUGGAAAACUUGAUUGCUGCAGAGAUGGAGACACUUGUUUAUCGACAGUAACAGUGGCUCCAAGCUGCGCUGAAUUACUUCUAAUCAGCUCAUGUGUGAUGCUAAUUAGCACAUUGUUUGUGCCGACUUCUCUGCUCAUAAUGAUGACUGUCUUGGAGCAGUCCCUGUCCUUCACUUGAAGGACUCCUCAUAAUGAUCAUCAAUUUGAAUACUCCUUGGAUUCACACGAUAUAUUUUACCUGGAGUGUUUAACGGAGGAAAAAACGAGUUUUCAUUCGUCAAAAUGAGGCCCUUCAGAGACAACGAAAAGCAGAUGGAGCAGAGUUCCUGUUUGCAUUGACAACAUUGACUGGGAAAUGCUGAUUUGUAGCCUAUUCAGGCUCGAUCUGAACCUUUUAGCCCUGAAGUAUUUUUAUUCCGAUACUUCUUUUCUUUUUGUCUUGCUUGUCUUUUAACCUUUAUCAGAACUCGAGAGACACA